Ornithodoros turicata is the source of this 308-nucleotide long non-coding RNA. RefSeq lists it as uncharacterized. The record is from RefSeq and is a predicted model, not a curated record. The transcript is spliced from 3 exons. NCBI's taxonomy places the organism in Eukaryota, Metazoa, Arthropoda, Arachnida, Ixodida, Argasidae.
UACGUUAGCUGUAGGAAUACGGUAGUUGAAAGGACAUCGAGAAACAGCCAUGACUUUGCUGCUAACCCUCACCAUUUUCGUCGUCCUUGGGACAGCUGCAAGUCAGCAGGAGCUGCAGGGCGUAGAUCCCGGUCAUAGCAGAACUCAAGGGCGAAGCCUUCAUCAAACGCUCUUUGGAAGAGGUCGAUUGGGUGCAUACUGCAAUGGUCCGUGCCAAGAAUGGAAUUGCCGUCCUGGUUGUGUAUGCUCAGACCUUUGGUUAUGCAUUGAAGAGCCUUGAAACGUUGUGAUUAAAGCAUUCUGUCCAA